GACGAACGCUGGCGGCGUGCUUAACACAUGCAAGUCGAACGGAAAGGCCCCUUUGGGGGUACUCGAGUGGCGAACGGGUGAGUAACACGUGAGUAACCUGCCCUUGACUUCGGGAUAACUUCAGGAAACUGGGGCUAAUACCGGAUAGGAAUCCUUGCUGCAUGGUGGGGGUUGGAAAGCUUCGGCGGUUUUGGAUGGACUCGCGGCUUAUCAGCUUGUUGGUGGGGUAGUGGCUUACCAAGGCUUUGACGGGUAGCCGGCCUGAGAGGGCGACCGGCCACAUUGGGACUGGGAUACGGCCCAGACUCCGACGGGAGGCAGCAGUGGGGAAUAUUGCACAAUGGGCGGAAGCCUGAUGCAGCAACGCCGCGUGCGGGAUGACGGCCUUCGGGUUGUAAACCGAUUUCAGCAGGGGCGAAGCUUGUGGUGACGGUACCUGCAGAAGAAGCACCGGCUAACUACGUG
This 465-nucleotide ribosomal RNA is filed under the name uncultured bacterium. RNAcentral's name for it is "partial 16S ribosomal RNA". It matches the Rfam family "Bacterial small subunit ribosomal RNA", at positions 28 to 507 of the family's 1533-position model. The record is from RNAcentral.